Molecule: ribosomal RNA, 840 nt
Filed under: uncultured Flavobacteriaceae bacterium
Lineage: Bacteria; Pseudomonadati; Bacteroidota; Flavobacteriia; Flavobacteriales; Flavobacteriaceae
Description: bacterial SSU rRNA
Rfam family: Bacterial small subunit ribosomal RNA
Source: RNAcentral
ACGCUAGCGGCAGCCUAACACAUGCAAGUCGAACGGUAACUUUUGGUGCUUGCACCGAAAGACGAGUGGCGAACGGGUGCGUAACGCGUAUGCAAUCUACCUUUUACUAGAGUAUAGCCCAGAGAAAUUUGGAUUAAUCCUCUAUAAUAUCAUUUAUUCGCAUGAAUUUAUGAUUAAAGCUUCGGCGGUAAAAGAUGAGCAUGCGUCCUAUUAGUUAGUAGGUGAGGUAAUGGCUCACCUAGACUGCGAUAGGUAGGGGUCCUGAGAGGGAGAUCCCCCACACUGGUACUGAGACACGGACCAGACUCCUACGGGAGGCAGCAGUGAGGAAUAUUGGACAAUGGACGAAAGUCUGAUCCAGCUAUGCCGCGUGCAGGAUGACAGCCCUACGGGUUGUAAACUGCUUUUAUACAGGAAGAAAAACUUCGACGUGUCGAAGCUUGACGGUACUGUAAGAAUAAGGAUCGGCUAACUCCGUGCCAGCAGCCGCGGUAAUACGGAGGAUCCAAGCGUUAUCCGGAAUCAUUGGGUUUAAAGGGUCCGCAGGCGGUUUUUUAAGUCAGAGGUGAAAUCCUGCAGCUCAACUGUAGAAUUGCCUUUGAUACUGAAAGACUUGAGUUAUUGUGAAGUGGUUAGAAUGUGUGGUGUAGCGGUGAAAUGCAUAGAUAUCACACAGAAUACCAAUUGCGAAGGCAGAUCACUAACAAUAUACUGACGCUCAGGGACGAAAGCGUGGGUAGCGAACAGGAUUAGAUACCCUGGUAGUCCACGCCGUAAACGAUGGAUACUAGCUGUAUGUCUACCUCAGGUAGAUGUGUGGCUAAGCGAAAGUGAUAAGUA